This is a long non-coding RNA of Alligator sinensis (Chinese alligator), 865 nucleotides long. RefSeq lists it as uncharacterized. The transcript is spliced from 3 exons. Lineage: Eukaryota; Metazoa; Chordata; Crocodylia; Alligatoridae. The record is from RefSeq and is a predicted model, not a curated record.
CAAGGUACUAAUCUCGGUUGAGUAUCACACCCUCAACCUCGCUGUUGCUGCCUCUAAGAAGAAAAAGUAUUGGAGAGGAGAAGGGCCAUUGAUAUACUGGGAAGAACCUCACAACAUCCUGUUCGUCGUCAUUUCUGAAGGUUCCUUUCUAUGCAAUUAAAAUCCAGUAUGUGAACAUCAUAUAGAACACAGUUGCUUUCCCAGUCACCAGUCUUAGAAGCAGCAGCAGCCGUAGCUGAAGCAGCAGCAGAAACACAAUAUGAUAUACCUGGUUAUGUUGUACUUGACUUAAAAGUUGUAACUCUAUAUACAGAAGACAAUUGCAAGGAGAGAUUAUGGGAAAAUACCUUACUGGAACUCGCUUAGCUUAUUGUCUUUUACCUGCAUGAUUAUUUCACAGCUGUCAGAGAUAGUACAGUGUCCUGUUUUUAAUAAAAGCAGUGAAAGAAGAGAAUGUAGCAACUGGAAAACCUUUCUGCUGAAAGCAGGUCCCUCACAACUGAUUGGCUAAUUAAAACAUUGAUGCAGCUAAUCCACGUUGACAUUUUUAUAGCCUUUACAUGAAUCAACUUUUAAGGGUAUGGUGGGGAAGAGAGAUAAGUCCACUGGCACUUGAUCACAGAAAAAGAAGGUAUUGUAUGAAAAAAAUACUGGUUUAAAAUGAACAUAUAAAAAUUAACUCGGUGCCUAAAAAUAAACAUCAGUGGGAAUCUCCUACAUAGACGAUAACUAAUAAAAUAGUAUGUGAAAUGAUAAAUCCAUAGUGGCAAACAUCAGGUCUCCCAGGACCAGCUAAACUGUGCACAUGCACCCUUUGGGAUGGCACUGGUGACAAUUAUGUUCAUGUGUGAAGUCGUGAGUACUA